Triticum aestivum (bread wheat) is the source of this 125-nucleotide non-coding RNA. The record is from Rfam. NCBI's taxonomy places the organism in Eukaryota, Viridiplantae, Streptophyta, Magnoliopsida, Poales, Poaceae.
CAAAUACUCCCUCCGUCCGAAAAUACUUGUCGGAGGAAUGGAUGUAUCUAGAUGCAAUUUAGUUCUAGAUACACCCAUUUUCAUUUAUUUCUCCGACAAGUAUUUCCGGACGGAGGGAGUAUUAG